RNAcentral lists this ribosomal RNA (253 nucleotides) under uncultured bacterium. RNAcentral's name for it is "partial 16S ribosomal RNA". It matches the Rfam family "Bacterial small subunit ribosomal RNA", at positions 524 to 776 of the family's 1533-position model. The record is from RNAcentral.
UACGGAAGGGGCGAGCGUUGUUCGGAAUCACUGGGCGUAAAGCGCGCGUAGGCGGCCUUGCAAGUGCGGCGUGAAAGUCCUGGGCUCAACCUGGGGACGGCGCUGCGGACUGCACGGCUGGAGUCCGGAAGAGGGUGGUGGAAUUCCGAGUGUAGAGGUGAAAUUCGUAGAUAUUCGGAGGAACACCGGUGGCGAAGGCGGCCACCUGGUCCGGCACUGACGCUGGAGCGCGAAAGCGUGGGGAGCAAACAGG